CAACAUUAGUCUCUGAUCUGUGUCUUUAUGAGCAAUGCGAGUGUAGCCACUAAGGUUUUUUUUCAGUAAAACUUGUUCAGUAUUGUCUUUAUUUCUAAAGAGAGCCUCAAGCACGAUGCAAAAAGGCUUUAUUUUUCUACUGAUUAUUUGGAACUCAUCCCCUUUUGCCUCAGGAAAAACCACAAAUCAUCAUCAAUUCUCGCUGGGAUGUCAAGCUGUGAUACCUUGUAAACAUUACAGAACGGAUUCACACUCAUGGUUUUACAAGAAGGAUGAACAUAGCAACACAAUACGGAUAUAUUUUAAGGAUAAAAAAGGAGUAGAAUACCAUGAGCAGCUCUUACGAAAAAGAGUGAAGGUGCUGAGAAACGGUUCGUUGGCCAUUAAUAUUUUCGCAGAGGAUGAUCAAGGCCUUUACUGGUGUGAACAUUGUUUUCAAGGCAACUGUUGGGUUGACCCCCCCGAAGUCAUCGGCAUGAAGAAAGAAAUUCUGGAAGAAACUCGGGAGACAUUCUACAUUGUUGCAGGCGAAGGUUUCACUCAUGCUUGCCCGGACGAAUUCACUGACUUAAAAUGGACAUUUGAAGCAAGUAACAUGGCUGCGCUCAGAAACUUGAUACAAGGAUCAGAAUCAGACUUUGUUACUUCCAACCAGUCUAUGCACAUUGUAAAAGUCAAAAGAGCAGAUGCUGGGAAAUAUACCUGCUGGAAAAGGGGAUGUAAUGGACGCAGGCAGAAGCUGCUUACGAUCAACUUGUGUGUAAUUACAGUACACCACAGUGAGGAUUCCUCUGUUUCAUGUGAUGUGAUGUGUGACAUGGAAUUCAGUUACGUCAAACCAAACAGCACAUUAAAAGUGGAGACAGGCGCAGGGACAACAUCAGUGCUUGUACAUCCAAAUGUGUCUUUAAACUGCAGUGCAAAGCAGAUGUUUGAUGGACACAGUACAGUUAACAGCACCCACGGACCAUCAAAUGCUUUAAACAAAACAACAGAUAUACCUCCGGAAGCUGAACAUCUGAUUCCAAUUAUUUAUGGAAUAUCAUCAGCCGUUACAUGUCUUACUUUAAUGGCACUUUUAAUUUGCUACCUCAGACCAAGCUUGUGGGCAGGUAGGAUCAGCUCUUUGUCUUAUUCAUUUCCUGUGAAUUGUUUUUUCAGUGGUCUACUGCCCUGA
RNAcentral lists this long non-coding RNA (1177 nucleotides) under Cottoperca gobio. Its description in RNAcentral is "lncRNA (ENSCGOG00000011364.1)". The record is from RNAcentral. Lineage: Eukaryota; Metazoa; Chordata; Actinopteri; Perciformes; Bovichtidae.